This 108-nucleotide ribosomal RNA is filed under the name Lycoris aurea (golden spider-lily). RNAcentral describes it as "4.5S ribosomal RNA". Lineage: Eukaryota; Viridiplantae; Streptophyta; Magnoliopsida; Asparagales; Amaryllidaceae. The record is from RNAcentral.
UAAGGUCACGGCGAGACGAGCCGUUUAUCAUUACGAUAGGUGUCAAGUGGAAGUGCAGUGAUGUAUGCAGCNNNNNUGAGGCAUCCUAACAGACCGAGAGAUUUGAAC